CCCCGUCAUCCCGGUCCCCUUCUCUGGCCCUUAAAUCCAAACCCUUUGUUUCUCUCUUCCCCAAUGCAUCCCCUUCGGGACUCUUCGGACCCCAGCCCUCCAGAACAGCCCCUCUUCAAAUCUAGCCGCUGGGAUGGCGAGUCUGCCCAUCCUAAACUCCGCUUUCGGCUGAGCUCUCAUCUCCCUGGGACCCGCAGCAUGGCUGAGGGAAGCUUCAGCGUGCAAUCGGAAAGCUACCAGUGUUGAAGACAUGGAUGAGGGUAGCGACGAAGUCCGGGAGGAAGAGAUGGUUGAAGGCAACGACUAUGAAGAAUUCGGUGCGUUUGGUGGCUACGGCACCCUCACCAGCUUUGACAUCCAUAUCCUCAGAGCCUUCGGAAGCUUGGGUCCCGGCCUUCGCAUCUUAUCGAAUGAGCCCUGGGAACUGGAAAACCCUGUGCUGGCCCAGACCCUGGUGGAGGCAUUGCAACUGGAUCCGGACACACUUGCCAAUGAGACCGCCGCCCGUGCUGCCAAUGUAGCCCGCGCCGCCGCCUCCAACCGUGCGGCUCGGGCCGCUGCCGCCGCUGCCCGUACCGCCUUCACUCAGGUGGUCGCUAGCCACCGGGUGGCCACGCCGCAGGUCUCAGGAGAGGAUACCCAGCCCACGACCUACGCCGCCGAGGCUCAGGGGCCCACCCCUGAGCCACCCCUUGCUUCUCCGCAGACCUCCCAGAUGUUAGUCACCAGUGAGAUGGCUGCCCCCGGGGCCCCAGUAACCUCCACAAAGUCCCAGACAGGCUCCCCGGCCCAGGAGGCUGCUACCGAGGGCCCUAGUAGCGCCUGUGCUUUCUCUCAGGCUCCGUGUGCCAGGGAGGUGGACACCACCCGGCCCAGCACAGCCUUCCUGGGUCAGAAUGAUGUCUUGAUUUCACUCAGCCGGCGGGGGUCAGUGGCAUGGCCUUCCCACGCCCCAAGAGACCUGCCCCAGCCCAAGAGGCUGCCACGGAGGGCUCCAGUGCUGCCUCCGGUGUGCCCCAGACUGGACCUGGCAGAGAGGUGGCAGCCACCCGGCCCAAGACCACCAAGUCAGGGAAGGCGCUGGCCAAGACUCGGUGGGUGGAGCCUCAGAACGUUGUGGCAGCAGCUGCUGCCAAGGCCAAGAUGGCCACGAGCAUCCCUGAGCCGGAGGGCGCAGCUGCUGCCACUGCUCAGCACAGUGCUGAGCCCUGGGCCAGGAUGGGAGGCAAGAGGACCAAGAAGUCCAAGCACCUGGAUGAUGAGUAUGAGAGCAGCGAGGAGGAGAGAGAGCCUCCUGCGGUCCCACCCACCUGGAGAGCAUCACAGCCCUCAUUGACGGUGCGGGCUCAGUUGGCCCCUCGGCGCCCGGUGGCCCCGAGGUCCCAGAUACCCUCAAGGCACGUACUGUGCCUGCCGCCCCGCAACGUGACGCUUCUGCAAGAGAGGGCAAAUAAGUUGGUAAAAUACCUGAUGAUUAAGGACUACAAGAAGAUCCCCAUCAAGCGUGCAGACAUGCUGAAGGAUGUCAUCAGAGAAUAUGAUGAACAUUUCCCUGAGAUCAUUGAACGAGCAACGUACACCCUGGAAAAGAAGUUUGGGAUCCACCUGAAGGAGAUCGACAAGGAAGAACACCUGUAUAUUCUUGUCUGCACACGGGACUCCUCAGCUCGCCUCCUUGGAAAAACCAAGGACACUCCCAGGCUGAGUCUCCUCUUGGUGAUUCUGGGCGUCAUCUUCAUGAAUGGCAACCGUGCCAGCGAGGCUGUCCUCUGGGAGGCACUACGCAAGAUGGGACUGCGCCCUGGGGUGAGGCACCCAUUCCUCGGCGAUCUGAGGAAGCUCAUCACAGAUGACUUUGUGAAGCAGAAGUACCUGGAAUACAAGAAGAUCCCUAACAGCAACCCACCUGAGUAUGAAUUCCUCUGGGGCCUGCGAGCCCGCCAUGAGACCAGCAAGAUGAGGGUCCUGAGAUUUCCUCCACAGAAUCAGAACCGAGACCCCCGGGAAUGGAAGGCUCAUUUCUUGGAGGCUGUGGAUGAUGCUUUCAAGACAAUGGAUGUGGAUAUGGCCGAGGAACAUGCCAGGGCCCAGAUGAGGGCCCAGAUGAAUAUCGGGGACGAAGCUCUGAUUGGACGGUGGAGCUGGGAUGACAUACAAGUCGAGCUCCUGACCUGGGAUGAGGACGGAGAUUUUGGCGACGCCUGGGCCAGGAUCCCUUUGCUUUCUGGGCCAGAUACCAUCAGUACAUUCUGAAUAGCAACCGUGCCAACAGGAGGGCCACGUGGAGAGCUGGUGUCAGCAGUGGCACCAAUGGAGGGGCCAGCACCAGCGUCCUAGAUGGCCCUAGCACCAGCUCCACCAUCCGGACCAGAAAUGCCGCCAGAGCUGGCGCCAGCUUCUUCUCCUGGAUCCAGUAA
Macaca mulatta (Rhesus monkey) is the source of this 2417-nucleotide non-coding RNA. The record is from RefSeq and is a predicted model, not a curated record. Lineage: Eukaryota; Metazoa; Chordata; Mammalia; Primates; Cercopithecidae.